UUACCUCGACACCGGUGCCCCCACACAUUGACUCUGUACCGGUACCACCUGUAUAUAGCUCCCACAUUGACUCUGUACCGGGUCCCCCUGUAUAUAGCCCCCACAUUGACUCUGUACCGGUACACCCUGUAUAUAGCCCCCACAUUGACUCUGUACCGGUACCCCCUGUCUAUAGCCCCCACAUUGACUCUGUACCGGUUCCCCCUGUAUAUAGCCUCCACAUUGACUCUGUACCGGUACCCCCUGUAUAUAGCUCCCACAUUGACUCUGUACCAGUACCCCCUGUAUAUAGCCUCCAUAUUGACUCUGUACCAGUACCCCCUGUAUAUAGCCUCCACAUUGACUCUGUACCAGUACCCCCUGUAUAUAGCUUCCACAUUGACUCUGUACCAGUACCCCCUGUAUAUAGCUUCCACAUUGACUCUGUACCAGUACCCCCUGUAUAUAGCCUCCACAUUGACUCUGUACCGGUACCCCCUGUAUAUAGUCUCCACAUUGACUCUGUACCGGUACCCCCUGUAUAUAGCCUCCACAUUGACUCUGUACCGUAAUACCCUGUAUAUAGCCUCCACAUUGACUCUGUACUGGUACCACCUGUAUAUAGUCUCCGCAUUGACUCUGUACCAGUACCCCCUGUAUAUAGCCUCCACAUUGACUCUGUACCGUAAUACCCUGUAUAUAGCCUCCACAUUGACUCUGUACCGGUACCCCCCGUCUAUAGCCCCCACAUUGACUCUGUACCAGUACCCCCUGUAUAUAGUCUCCACAUUGACUCUGUACCAGUACCCCCUGUAUAUAGCCUCCACAUUGACUCUGUACCAGUACCCCCUGUAUAUAGCUCCCACAUUGACUCUGUACCGGUACCCCCUGUAUAUAGCUCCCACAUUGACUCUGUACCAGUACCCCCUGUAUAUAGCCUCCAUAUUGACUCUGUACCAGUACCCCCUGUAUAUAGCCUCCACAUUGACUCUGUACCAGUACCCCCUGUAUAUAGCUUCCACAUUGACUCUGUACCAGUACCCCCUGUAUAUAGCUUCCACAUUGACUCUGUACCAGUACCCCCUGUAUAUAGCCUCCACAUUGACUCUGUACCGGUACCCCCUGUAUAUAGUCUCCACAUUGACUCUGUACCGGUACCCCCUGUAUAUAGCCUCCACAUUGACUCUGUACCGUAAUACCCUGUAUAUAGCCUCCACAUUGACUCUGUACUGGUACCACCUGUAUAUAGUCUCCGCAUUGACUCUGUACCAGUACCCCCUGUAUAUAGCCUCCACAUUGACUCUGUACCGUAAUACCCUGUAUAUAGUCUCCACAUUGACUCUGUACCGGUACCCCCUGUAUAUAGCCUCCACAUUGACUCUGUACCGGUACCCCCUGUAUAUAGUCUCCACAUUGACUCUGUACCGGUACCCCCUGUAUAUAGCCUCCACAUUGACUCUGUACCGUAAUACCCUGUAUAUAGCCUCCACAUUGACUCUGUACUGGUACCACCUGUAUAUAGUCUCCGCAUUGACUCUGUACCAGUACCCCCUGUAUAUAGCCUCCACAUUGACUCUGUACCGUAAUACCCUGUAUAUAGUCUCCACAUUGACUCUGUACCGGUACCCCCUGUAUAUAGCCUCCACAUUGACUCUGUACCGUAAUACCCUGUAUAUAGCCUGCACGUUGACUCUGUACCAGUACCCCCUGUAUAUAGCUCCCACAUUGACUCUGUACCGGUACCCCCUGUAUAUAGCUCCCACAUUGACUCUGUACCAGUACCCCCUGUAUAUAGCCUCCAUAUUGACUCUGAACCGUAAUACCCUGUAUAUAGCCUCCACAUUGACUCUGUACCGGUACCCCCUGUAUAUAGCCUCCACAUUGACUCUGUACCAGUACCCCCGGUACCCCCUGUAUAUAGCCUCCACAUUGACUCUGUACCGUAAUACCCUGUAUAUAGACUCCACAUUGACUCUGUACCGGUACCCCCUGUAUAUAGCCUCCACAUUGACUCUGUACUGGUACCCCCUGUAUAUAGCCUCCACAUUGACUCUGUACUGGUACCACCUGUAUAUAGUCUCUGCAUUGACUCUGUACCAGUACCCCCUGUAUAUAGCCUCCACAUUGACUCUGUACCGUAAUACCCUGUAUAUAGUCUCCACAUUGACUCCGUACCGGUACCCCCUGUAUAUAGCCUCCACAUUGACUCUGUACCGUAAUACCCCGUAUAUAGUCUCCACAUUGACUCUGUACCGGUACCCCCUGUAUAUAGCCUCCACAUUGACUCUGUACCCUAAUACCCUGUAUAUAGCCUCCACAUUGAUUCUGUACCGUAAUACCCUGUACCAGUACCCCUGUAUAUAG
This is a long non-coding RNA of Oncorhynchus kisutch (coho salmon), 2343 nucleotides long. The record is from Ensembl. NCBI's taxonomy places the organism in Eukaryota, Metazoa, Chordata, Actinopteri, Salmoniformes, Salmonidae.